This 253-nucleotide ribosomal RNA is filed under the name uncultured bacterium. RNAcentral describes it as "partial 16S ribosomal RNA". It matches the Rfam family "Bacterial small subunit ribosomal RNA", at positions 524 to 776 of the family's 1533-position model. The record is from RNAcentral.
UACGUAGGGUGCGAGCGUUAAUCGGAAUUACUGGGCGUAAAGCGUGCGCAGGCGGUUUUGUAAGCCAGAUGUGAAAUCCCCGGGCUUAACCUGGGAAUGGCAUUUGGGACUGCAAGGCUUGAGUGCGGCAGAGGAGACUGGAAUUCCUGGUGUAGCAGUGAAAUGCGUAGAUAUCAGGAGGAACACCGAUGGCGAAGGCAGCCCCCUGGGCCAAUACUGACGCUCAUGCACGAAAGCGUGGGGAGCAAACAGG